GACGAACGCUGGCGGCGUGCUUAACACAUGCAAGUCGAACGGAAAGGCCCUGCUUUUGUGGGGUGCUCGAGUGGCGAACGGGUGAGUAACACGGGAGUAACCUGCCCUUGACUUUGGGAUAUCUUCAGGCAACUGGGGCUAAUACCGGAUAGGAGCGCCUGCUGCCUGGUGGGGGUUGGAAAGUUUCGGCGGUUGGGGGUGGACUCGGGGCUAAUCAGCUUGUUGGGGGGGGAGUGGCUUACGCAGGCUUUGACGGGUAGCCGGCCUGAGAGGGUGGCCGGGGACAUGGGGACUGAGGUACGGCCCAGAGUCGUACGGGGGGCAGCAGUGGGGAAUCUGGUACAAUGGUCGGAAGCCUGUUGAAACAAUGCUGCGUGUGUAAUGACGUCUUUCUUGUGGGAAACCGCUGUCGCCUGAGACUAAGCGGUAGUGACGUUAAUGGGUAAAGAAGCACCGGCUAACUACGUG
This 468-nucleotide ribosomal RNA is filed under the name uncultured bacterium. RNAcentral describes it as "partial 16S ribosomal RNA". It matches the Rfam family "Bacterial small subunit ribosomal RNA", at positions 28 to 507 of the family's 1533-position model. The record is from RNAcentral.